GAUGAACGCUGGCGGCGUGCCUAAUACAUGCAAGUCGAGCGAACGGACGAGAAGCUUGCUUCUCUGAUGUUAGCGGCGGACGGGUGAGUAACACGUGGAUAACCUACCUAUAAGACUGGGAUAACUUCGGGAAACCGGAGCUACUACCGGAUAAUAUUUUGAACCGCAUGGUUCAAAAGUGAAGGACGGUCUUGCUGUCACUUAUAGCUGGAUCCGCCCUGCAUUAGCUAGUUGGUAAGGUAACGGCUUACCAAGGCAACGAGGCAUAGCCGACCUGAGAGGGUGAUCGGCCACACGGGAACUGAGACACGGUCCAGACUCCUACGGGAGGAAGCAGUAGGGAAUCUUCCGCAAUGGGCGAAAGCCUGACGGAGCAACGCGGCGGGAGUGAUGAAGGUCUUCGGAUCGGAAAACUCUGUUAUUAGGGAAGAACAUAUGUGUAAGUAACUGUGCACAUCUUGACGGUACCUAAUCAGAAAGCCACGGCUAACUACGUG
This 497-nucleotide ribosomal RNA is filed under the name uncultured bacterium. Its description in RNAcentral is "partial 16S ribosomal RNA". It matches the Rfam family "Bacterial small subunit ribosomal RNA", at positions 28 to 507 of the family's 1533-position model. The record is from RNAcentral.